CCUACGGGAGGCAGCAGUGGGGAAUAUUGGACAAUGGGCGAAAGCCUGAUCCAGCGACGCCGCGUGUGUGAAGAAGGCCUGCGGGUUGUAAAGCACUUUCGAUGGGAACGAAAUGUGCCGGGCUAAUACCCCGGCAAGCUGACGUUACUCAAUGAAGAAGCACCGGCUAACUCUGUGCCAGCAGCCGCGGUAAUACAGAGGGUGCGAGCGUUAAUCGGAAUUACUGGGCGUAAAGCGCACGUAGGUGGCGACGUAAGUCGGGUGUGAAAGCCCCGGGCUCAACCUGGGAAUUGCAUUCGAGACUGCGUUGCUGGAGUACGGAAGAGGAAGGCGGAAUUCCCGGUGUAGCGGUGAAAUGCGUAGAUAUCGGGAGGAACAUCAGUGGCGAAGGCGGCCUUCUGGUCCAGUACUGACACUCAAGUGCGAAAGCGUGGGGAGCA
This 440-nucleotide ribosomal RNA is filed under the name uncultured bacterium. RNAcentral describes it as "bacterial SSU rRNA". It matches the Rfam family "Bacterial small subunit ribosomal RNA", at positions 338 to 770 of the family's 1533-position model. The record is from RNAcentral.